CCAAGGUACUGCGGGUGGAUCACCGGGAGUUGAUCUACCGGAUACAUUACAACAGGGGGGUGAUCCGGUUCCAUGCCGGAGACUUCGGG
This 89-nucleotide transfer RNA is filed under the name Spirochaetia bacterium. Its description in RNAcentral is "tRNA-Ser". Lineage: Bacteria; Pseudomonadati; Spirochaetota; Spirochaetia. The record is from RNAcentral.